UAGGGAAUAUUGGUAAUCUGCGAAAGCGGGAACCAGCAACGCCGCGUGUGCGAUGACGGCCUUCGGGUUGUAAAGCACUUUUUGAGGGGAUGAGGAAGGACAGUACCCUCAGAAUAAGCCUCGGCUAACUACGUGCCAGCAGCCGCGGUAACACGUAGGAGGCAAGCGUUAUUCGGAUUUACUGGGCGUAAAGAGCGUGUAGGAGGCAAUACAAGUUGGAUGUAAAAGCUCUCGGCUAAACUGAGAGAGGACGUUCAAGACUGUAGAGCUAGAGGAAGGCAGAGGUAGAUGGAACUCCGGGAGUAGUGGUGAAAUGCGUAGAUAUCGGGAGGAACACCAGUGGCGAAGGCGGCUUCCUGGCACAAUACUGACGCUCAUGUGCGAAAGCUAGGGCAGCGAACG
RNAcentral lists this ribosomal RNA (402 nucleotides) under uncultured prokaryote. Its description in RNAcentral is "bacterial SSU rRNA". It matches the Rfam family "Bacterial small subunit ribosomal RNA", at positions 355 to 774 of the family's 1533-position model. The record is from RNAcentral.